GAAGGUGUAGCUCAGCUGGUAGAGCAGCGGACUUUUAAUCCGUUGGUCGUGGGUUCGAUUCCCGCCACCUUCA
This 73-nucleotide transfer RNA is filed under the name bacterium. Its description in RNAcentral is "tRNA-Lys". It matches the Rfam family "tRNA". From Rfam's summary of the family: Transfer RNA (tRNA) molecules are approximately 80 nucleotides in length. Their secondary structure includes four short double-helical elements and three loops (D, anti-codon, and T loops). The record is from RNAcentral.